This 862-nucleotide ribosomal RNA is filed under the name Scenedesmus sp. VITEE2. RNAcentral describes it as "LSU rRNA". It matches the Rfam family "Eukaryotic large subunit ribosomal RNA", at positions 40 to 938 of the family's 3401-position model. The record is from RNAcentral. Lineage: Eukaryota; Viridiplantae; Chlorophyta; Chlorophyceae; Sphaeropleales; Scenedesmaceae.
UUAUUUUUUUGUUGCGAGAUGAACUAACAUGGAUGCGCUUAGUAACGGCGAGCGAACCGCGCAAAGCCCAAGCUUGAAAAUCUCCCUUGGAGAAUUGUAGUCUAUAGAAGUACCCUCUGCAACGGGCUGAGCUAAAGUCUCCUGGAAAGGGGCGUCAGAGAGGGUGAGAACCCCGUAAGCUCACGCUUUGUUGCCUCACGAGGUGCUUUCAAAGAGUCGGGUUGCUUGGGAAUGCAGCCCAAAUUUGGUGGUAAAUCCCAUCUAAGGCUAAAUAUUGGCGAGAGACCGAUAGCGAACAAGUACCGUGAGGGAAAGAUGAAAAGAACUUUGAAAAGAGAGUUAAAAAGUGCUUGAAAUUGUUGAGGGGGAAGCGUUUGAAUGCUAGGGUGCGCCUAGGCUUAUGGGUCCUUAACGGGGCUCUGUAUGUGCUAGGUGCUGGCCAGCAUGGGUUAGGCUAGUGGGAUAAAAGCUGGGGUUGAUACCCGGUCUAUGCCACUGGCUUGACCAAGGCGUGAAGACUGCCCUUGUCCUUCGGGAACUGCAGUCUCAAGAUGCUGGCAAAAGGCUUUCAACCGACCCGUCUUGAAACACGGACCAAGGAGUCUAACAUGUAUGCGAGUUGGUGGGUGGAAAACCCAUGAAGCGUAAGGAAACUGACUGGUGGGAUGGCCUGUGCCUGCACCAUCGACCGACCAUGCGUUUCUGCAAAAGGUUUGAGUGCGAGCAUACCUGUUGGGACCCGAAAGAUGGUGAACUAUGCCUGAGCAGGGUGAAGCCAGGUGAAAACCUGGUGGAGGCUCGUAGAUGUGACCUGACGUGCAAAUCGCUUUUCGGACUUGGGUAUAGGGGCGAAGACUAUCAC